GCUUUGCUUUCUUUACUCCUGUGCUACUCUACUCUACUGAUGUGCUGCGCAUGCGCUACUCAAUACUGCGCAUGCGCAUUAAUUUUCACCAGCCCGGUUACGACUCAGUGGAAACGAGUAGAAAUGAGUCUUAGAAAGCUGAUAAAAGACACCCAGAAGAAGACAAAUCCUUCUUACUUUUUGAAAUACUUUAAGCAAGACGAUACUUAUUCUAUUGUGAAAGCAAACUGUGUAGAAGUUGAGCAGCUGGAAGCUGGUACCUCCUGCAGAGUAAGGGAUGGAAAGGACUUUCAUGAUGGCACAAUAGUCACCUUUGGAGAUAAGAAAGAUGUAAGUAAUGCAGCAGGUGAUAUUAUUGAGAAGAUUGAGAAUGAGUCAGCGGAGAAUAUGGAGAAAGAGUCAGCCAAGAAUAUGGAGAAACAGUCAGCUGAGAGUAUGAAGAAUGAGUCAGACUACAAAGCGUGGCACAAUAAAAAGGAAAGCUAAGAAAAGUACCACCGAAUAAAGAAACCUAAAAUAGAAAAAGGAAAGGAAGAAAUGCACAGUUAAUAUUGUUGCUGUUGGUUGUGCUACAAAUAAUGAAUCUGCUGCAAAUAAUGAAGCAACAAGCUUCAACACUGGAGAUCCUUCUAAGCAUAUGAGUAUCAAAGCAAGAAAACCUUCAGAGAGAAAAGAGGCAGAUUCCAGUGAAAGAAUUCUUUGUCAUAGCCCUCCACCACUUCCACCACCACUUGCACUGGUGGAGCUUAAAACUCAAGCUGCAUGUAGUACUGAAACAGAGGUUAUAUACUGUCUCUAAUUAGAAGAAUGGAAAUUU
RNAcentral lists this unclassified non-coding RNA (817 nucleotides) under Amphimedon queenslandica. RNAcentral's name for it is "uncharacterized LOC109592809, transcript variant X1". The record is from RNAcentral. Lineage: Eukaryota; Metazoa; Porifera; Demospongiae; Haplosclerida; Niphatidae.